CCUACGGGUGGCAGCAGUGGGGAAUAUUGGGCAAUGGGCGCAAGCCUGACCCAGCAACGCCGCGUGAAGGAAGAAGGCUUUCGGGUUGUAAACUUCUUUUAAGGGGGAAGAGCAGAAGACGGUACCCCUUGAAUAAGCCACGGCUAACUACGUGCAAGCAGCCGCGGUAAUACGUAGGUUGCAAGUGUUGUCCGGAUUUACUGGGUGUAAAGGGCGUGCAGCCGGGGAGACAAGUCAGAUGUGAAAUCAACGGGCUCAACCCGUGAACUGCAUUUGAAACUGUUUCCCUUGAGUGUCGGAGAGGUAGUCGGAAUUCCGGGUGUAGCGGUGAAAUGCGUAGAUAUAAGGAAGAACACCCAUGGCGAAGGCGGAUUACUAGACGAUAACUGACGGUGAGGCGCGAAAGCGUGGGGAGCAAACAGGAUUAGAUACCCCUGUAGUC
RNAcentral lists this ribosomal RNA (442 nucleotides) under uncultured bacterium. Its description in RNAcentral is "partial 16S ribosomal RNA". It matches the Rfam family "Bacterial small subunit ribosomal RNA", at positions 338 to 795 of the family's 1533-position model. The record is from RNAcentral.